GAGCACCCAGAAAGUGCUAGAACCCCAGAGAUAGUUGUAGCCGUUAUUCGAAUUCGCGCGCAUUCAAACCCUCUCCAAUUUCCAGAAUAUUAGAGAAUGCUGAGAGCCAAGAGCUUGAGCAGAGUGUCGGUGCCGCGACCAUCCUUCUCCGGCUAACCUCCAAUCCACUCGCCUCGCUCUCCAUGUCAGCGAGGACGGCUCUUCUUGCUGGGCCUACGUCGCCUCCGGUUGCCAAAUUUACAAGCUCCAGAUUGUGUUGGACGAUUCCCUGGUCAAUGAAGGGAAAGAUAGCCUUCUGAUUCCUGUACAUAAGCAGGU
Argentina anserina (silverweed cinquefoil) is the source of this 318-nucleotide long non-coding RNA. RefSeq lists it as uncharacterized. Lineage: Eukaryota; Viridiplantae; Streptophyta; Magnoliopsida; Rosales; Rosaceae. The record is from RefSeq and is a predicted model, not a curated record. The transcript has 3 exons.